Molecule: ribosomal RNA, 434 nt
Filed under: uncultured Lachnospiraceae bacterium
Lineage: Bacteria; Bacillati; Bacillota; Clostridia; Lachnospirales; Lachnospiraceae
Description: partial 16S ribosomal RNA
Rfam family: Bacterial small subunit ribosomal RNA
Source: RNAcentral
ACGGAAGGCAGCAGUGGGGAAUAUUGCACAAUGGGGGAAACCCUGAUGCAGCGACGCCGCGUGAGUGAAGAAGUAUUUCGGUAUGUAAAGCUCUAUCAGCAGGAAAGAAAAUGACGGUACCUGACUAAGAAGCCCCGGCUAACUACGUGCCAGCAGCCGCGGUAAUACGUAGGGGGCAAGCGUUAUCCGGAUUUACUGGGUGUAAAGGGAGCGUAGACGGCUUUGCAAGUCUGAAGUGAAAGCCCGGGGCUCAACCCCGGAACUGCUUUUGAAACUGUAGAGCUAGAGUGCAGGAGAGGUAAGUGGAAUUCCUAGUGUAGCGGUGAAAUGCGUAGAUAUUAGGAGGAACACCAGUGGCGAAGGCGGCUUACUGGACUGUAACUGACGUUGAGGCUCGAAGGCGUGGGGAGCAAACAGGAUUAGAUACCCUGGUA